RNAcentral lists this ribosomal RNA (253 nucleotides) under uncultured bacterium. RNAcentral's name for it is "partial 16S ribosomal RNA". It matches the Rfam family "Bacterial small subunit ribosomal RNA", at positions 524 to 776 of the family's 1533-position model. The record is from RNAcentral.
UACGAAGGGGGCUAGCGUUGCUCGGAAUCACUGGGCGUAAAGCGCACGUAGGCGGAUUGUUAAGUCAGGGGUGAAAUCCUGGAGCUCAACUCCAGAACUGCCUUUGAUACUGGCGAUCUCGAGUCCGGAAGAGGUGAGUGGAACUCCGAGCGUAGAGGUGAAAUUCGUAGAUAUUCGGAAGAACACCAGUGGCGAAGGCGGCUCACUGGUCCGGUACUGACGCUGAGGUGCGAAAGCGUGGGGAGCAAACAGG